GGGCUCGUAGCUCAGCUGGAUAGAGCAUCGGCCUUCUAAGCCGUGUGUCCAGAGUUCGAAUCUCUGCGGGCUCACCA
RNAcentral lists this transfer RNA (77 nucleotides) under [Eubacterium] minutum. RNAcentral describes it as "tRNA-Arg(tct)". It matches the Rfam family "tRNA". Rfam says of the family: Transfer RNA (tRNA) molecules are approximately 80 nucleotides in length. Their secondary structure includes four short double-helical elements and three loops (D, anti-codon, and T loops). The record is from RNAcentral. Lineage: Bacteria; Bacillati; Bacillota; Clostridia; Peptostreptococcales; Anaerovoracaceae. RNAcentral also lists the same sequence under 8 other names.